This 1183-nucleotide long non-coding RNA is filed under the name Lonchura striata (white-rumped munia). RNAcentral describes it as "domestica (Bengalese finch) lncRNA (ENSLSDG00000001816.1)". Lineage: Eukaryota; Metazoa; Chordata; Aves; Passeriformes; Estrildidae. The record is from RNAcentral.
CGUGGCUCCUGGGAAUCUCUGUUCCUUUCCCACCUAAACCUCCCCGAUUUCGAGUAUUAAUUUAUAUUUCAGUUACUCCCCAGACACGCACUCCGCCAAAAGACCACCCGGCACGAUGUCAUCUCUGAGCCUCAUCCUUCUCGGCCUCAUCAUCGCCUUGAGACCCCUGCAAGCCUGGAUCGUACCACAGCCGCCAGCCAAUGUUUGGACCACCCUUGCAAAAUCCCUUAAUCGAGACCAUUUAUGUUUGUCAACCACUUCCGCUGCCAAUCCCUUUCUGUCCUGUCUCGUGGGGAUCCCAUAUCCUAUAGUUAAGUUUCCUUUUACCCUCCCUUUAAACUCCUCCGUCCUCCGCAUAAAAAAUGACACCAAUCCCUUUAUCUCCCAACCCCUAGACCCACCAGAUGCAUGGAGGGCGUGGGUCAGAACCUUCCCGGUUAUGGCAAAAGAGCCCGAGGAACUUGAACUACUCGGCUCUUCCCUGGCCUAUACCUGCUGCCGUUUCCUUGAUUAUAACCCAUAUGUCCAUCCCAAAAGAAUAAUCAAACAAACAAUCACAGAAUACCAGGAUAAAAAUUGGUGCAAAAAGGUAAUCUAUAUCUCAGACUUUUCAACCCCUGACAACAAGCCCCAUUCCCUUCCUAAAGGUGUGUUUUUAAUUUGUGGAAAUCGGGCUUGGGCAGGCAUCCCCCCUCACCUAGUCGGAGGGCCAUGCGCAUUCGGGCAGUUGAGCUUGUUUACUCCCAAUAAAACCCACAUAGCGCAUUGGAAACAGCUAAAUCAGACAGGUCAAUUGACUCGCCAAAAGAGAGAUACUGGACUCACUGAUUGGGACGAAAACUGUAAUGAUGAAGUCACCCAUUGGACAAAAGCAAAGAGCGUUGCUACCAUUGCAUUUUUACCAUGGAUAGGAAUCGCUCAAGCAUUCAAUGAAUUGGCCGGCCUUGAAUGCUGGGUAGCUAAGCAAGCCAACCUUACAUCAACUGCCCUAAGCAACCUCCUAACAGAUGAGGAAGUCACGAGACAGGCAACCCUUCAAAACCGAGCCGCAAUUGAUUUUCUUUUGUUAUUACACAACCAUAAAUGUGAAGAAUUUGCUGGCCUGUGUUGUAUGAAUUUGAGUUCCAGAGCCGAAGAUGUCCGCACCUCCAUCACUAAAAUGCAGGACAUGAUCCAUCAUCUA